CACCGGGAGUUCAACGAGCGUUGCUGGAAAUACUGGAGCGACAGCCUACGGAGUUAACAAAACUAGACUCACUUUGACAGUAUAAACUGGUAGAAGUCAGUCGCGUGCUCUUUGGUAGGCUAGACUAACCGUUAGACCCAAGUGAGCUGACUACCUUAAAAAAAAUUAAAUUAGUUUUAAAUUCCCACAAACUAAAUAAACAAACUGAUGCAGGGAGUGGAGAGCAUUGCUGAGGUCGGUGAACGGCCUGCAGACCCUGUUAAUCUCGACUGUGUCCUCAAACAGCUCGACUCCAUGUUGGACUGCAUGAAAGUUCUGGAAGUGGAGACUCAGCUCCUCCAGUGCAACCUGACCACCUGCUUCACCCACCCAGACAAGAUGGCAGCCCUGGCAGAGGGGAGGUGGCCGUGUGAGAAGAAGCCGUUCUGUGAGUUGAUUGGUGGAGAAGCCUCACCUGUCCCACCUGUCUGAGAUAAUGCUCCGCCUGCUCGCGAGUCACCUGACCGAUGUACCACCUGGGGUCUGGGUCCUGGCAGCGAGACAGACGGACAGACAGACAGACAGAAUUACAGUCCUGCGUCCACUUUCACCAGUUUAAUCAGAGCUCAGAAAGCAAGUAUUAUUCAUGUUUCUAAUCUCAUCUGUGUCAUUAUUGUAAUGGAUCCAUGUUAUUCCUUGUUUGUUAUGGACUGCUGAAUGUCACCCUGUGGAACACAUUCACUAUUAAAGUAUUUAGAGAUGGAAA
Long non-coding RNA from Anguilla anguilla (European eel), 745 nucleotides. RefSeq lists it as uncharacterized. The record is from RefSeq and is a predicted model, not a curated record. The transcript is spliced from 4 exons. NCBI's taxonomy places the organism in Eukaryota, Metazoa, Chordata, Actinopteri, Anguilliformes, Anguillidae.